RNAcentral lists this ribosomal RNA (253 nucleotides) under uncultured bacterium. RNAcentral's name for it is "partial 16S ribosomal RNA". It matches the Rfam family "Bacterial small subunit ribosomal RNA", at positions 524 to 776 of the family's 1533-position model. The record is from RNAcentral.
UACGGAGGGUGCGAGCGUUGUCCGGAAUCACUGGGCGUAAAGGGCGCGUAGGCGGCGCGAGCAGUCGAUCGUGAAAGUCCGGAGCUCAACUCCGGAUCGGCGGUCGAUACUCUCGUGCUUGAGCACUGUAGAGGCAGGUGGAAUUCCGGGUGUAGCGGUGGAAUGCGUAGAGAUCCGGAAGAACACCGGUGGCGAAGGCGGCCUGCUGGGCAGUAGCUGACGCUGAGGCGCGACAGCGUGGGGAGCAAACAGG